Daphnia pulicaria is the source of this 99-nucleotide long non-coding RNA. RefSeq lists it as uncharacterized. Lineage: Eukaryota; Metazoa; Arthropoda; Branchiopoda; Diplostraca; Daphniidae. The transcript has 3 exons. The record is from RefSeq and is a predicted model, not a curated record.
CGUACGUCAACGAAGAGAUGUGGAAUCGUUUUGGACAGCCGAAAUUGCAACCGACCGGUAUUAAUGAUGACUCAAAAGGCUAUUUCUUAAAGUCAUAGU